Molecule: ribosomal RNA, 468 nt
Filed under: uncultured bacterium
Lineage: Bacteria
Description: partial 16S ribosomal RNA
Rfam family: Bacterial small subunit ribosomal RNA
Source: RNAcentral
GACGAACGCUGGCGGCGUGCUUAACACAUGCAAGUCGAACGGAAAGGCCCUGCUUUUGUGGGGUUCUCGAGUGGCGAACGGGUGAGUAACACGUGAGUAACCUUCGCUUGACUUUGUGAUAACUGCAGGAAACUGGGGCUAAUACCUGAGAGGAGCUCCUGCUGCAGGGUGGGGGUUGGAAAGUUUCGGCUGUUGUGGAUGGACUCGCGGCUUAUCAGCUGGUUGGGGGGGGAGUGGCUUACCAAGGCUUUGGCGGGUCGCCUGCCUGGGAGGGUGACCAGCCACAUUGCGACUGCGGUACGGACCAGAGUGCUACGGGAGGCAGUAGGCGGGAAUAUUGCACAAUGGGGGGAAGCGUGAUGAGGAGACCUCGCGUGCGGGAUGACGGCCUUCGGGUUAUAAACCGCUUUAGCAUGUGACGAAGCGUGAGUGACGGUAACAGGUAAAGAAGCACCGGCUAACUACGUG